Non-coding RNA from Triticum urartu, 512 nucleotides. The record is from RefSeq and is a predicted model, not a curated record. NCBI's taxonomy places the organism in Eukaryota, Viridiplantae, Streptophyta, Magnoliopsida, Poales, Poaceae.
AGGGUACACGAACUCCACUUCUUCCACCAGCCACCCUCCCCUCUGCGCCCAGCUUGUGGAACACCUCCACACCAUCUUCGGAGCCGCCUGCUGCUGAGGAACAUCAUGUGGGCUACUUCCAAGCAUGAUGUGUACGUGAUGUAGAACUAUUCUGUGAUGCAUUGGUCGUCCUUACUCCGCAAAGGAAAAGAAGUGCUCAACGUGGCAGGCCCAAAUCAGGAUAUGCAGGGAGGUCGGCCCUUGUCCAGGGGAAGAUCAGCACCAUGACGGUGAAAGACAACCUCGGCAGUGCCUUCUAGCAAGAUUUCAAUCAUAAUCUGUGCAUACUUGUUUAUGAUAUGUGUGUGCCUCCAUCAAUCCUCUUUGGCAUCAUAGGAUACAAGAUACCAAGACUAGCAGUUCUUGUCUUGCUCAUGUUUUGUGAUCUCAGCUUAUCUAAUAAAACUGGCAAUUAUAGGAUACAAGAUACCAUAACUACAUAACUGGGGUCAUUUGCGUUACUGUAGUUGUGC